This 329-nucleotide ribosomal RNA is filed under the name uncultured eukaryote. RNAcentral's name for it is "partial 18S ribosomal RNA". It matches the Rfam family "Eukaryotic small subunit ribosomal RNA", at positions 1470 to 1796 of the family's 1831-position model. The record is from RNAcentral.
CCCUUAGAUGUUCUGGGCCGCACGCGCGCUACACUGUUUGAUUCAGUGAGUCUUAACCUUGACCGAAAGGUUUGGGUAAUCUUCUAAAGUCAAACGUGAUGGGGAUCGAUCAUUGCAAUUAUUGAUCGUGAACGAGGAAUUCCUAGUAAAUGCAAGUCAUCAGCUUGCGUUGAUUACGUCCCUGCCCUUUGUACACACCGCCCGUCGCUACUACCGAUUGAAUGGUUUAGUGAGAUCUCCGGAUUGGCUCUGUAGGUCCCGCAAGGGAUUUAUUAGUAGCCAAGAAGCUGCUCAAACUUGAUCAUUUAGAGGAAGUAAAAGUCGUAACA